Molecule: ribosomal RNA, 731 nt
Filed under: Vibrio parahaemolyticus
Lineage: Bacteria; Pseudomonadati; Pseudomonadota; Gammaproteobacteria; Vibrionales; Vibrionaceae
Description: partial 23S ribosomal RNA
Rfam family: Bacterial large subunit ribosomal RNA
Source: RNAcentral
CCACCCUUGUAGUGUUGAUGUUCUAACGUCGACCCCUAAUCGGGGUUGCGGACAGUGCCUGGUGGGUAGUUUGACUGGGGCGGUCUCCUCCCAAAGAGUAACGGAGGAGCACGAAGGUGGGCUAAUCACGGUUGGACAUCGUGAGGUUAGUGCAAUGGCAUAAGCCCGCUUGACUGCGAGAAUGACAAUUCGAGCAGGUGCGAAAGCAGGUCAUAGUGAUCCGGUGGUUCUGAAUGGAAGGGCCAUCGCUCAACGGAUAAAAGGUACUCCGGGGAUAACAGGCUGAUACCGCCCAAGAGUUCAUAUCGACGGCGGUGUUUGGCACCUCGAUGUCGGCUCAUCACAUCCUGGGGCUGAAGUCGGUCCCAAGGGUAUGGCUGUUCGCCAUUUAAAGUGGUACGCGAGCUGGGUUUAGAACGUCGUGAGACAGUUCGGUCCCUAUCUGCCGUGGGCGUUGGAAGAUUGAAGGGGGCUGCUCCUAGUACGAGAGGACCGGAGUGGACGAACCUCUGGUGUUCGGGUUGUGUCGCCAGACGCAUUGCCCGGUAGCUAAGUUCGGAAUCGAUAACCGCUGAAAGCAUCUAAGCGGGAAGCGAGCCCUGAGAUGAGUCUUCCCUGAUACUUUAAGUAUCCUAAAGGGUUGUCGGAGACUACGACGUUGAUAGGUCAGGUGUGUAAGUGCUGUGAGGCAUUGAGCUAACUGAUACUAAUUGCCCGUGAGGCUUAACCAU